This 633-nucleotide ribosomal RNA is filed under the name Streptomyces sp. ANA2110. RNAcentral's name for it is "bacterial SSU rRNA". It matches the Rfam family "Bacterial small subunit ribosomal RNA", at positions 56 to 707 of the family's 1533-position model. The record is from RNAcentral. Lineage: Bacteria; Bacillati; Actinomycetota; Actinomycetes; Kitasatosporales; Streptomycetaceae.
UGCAGUCGAACGAUGAACCACUUCGGUGGGGAUUAGUGGCGAACGGGUGAGUAACACGUGGGCAAUCUGCCCUUCACUCUGGGACAAGCCCUGGAAACGGGGUCUAAUACCGGAUAUGACCCUGGGAGGCAUCUCCCGGGUUGUAAAGCUCCGGCGGUGAAGGAUGAGCCCGCGGCCUAUCAGCUUGUUGGUGAGGUAACGGCUCACCAAGGCGACGACGGGUAGCCGGCCUGAGAGGGCGACCGGCCACACUGGGACUGAGACACGGCCCAGACUCCUACGGGAGGCAGCAGUGGGGAAUAUUGCACAAUGGGCGCAAGCCUGAUGCAGCGACGCCGCGUGAGGGAUGACGGCCUUCGGGUUGUAAACCUCUUUCAGCAGGGAAGAAGCGCAAGUGACGGUACCUGCAGAAGAAGCGCCGGCUAACUACGUGCCAGCAGCCGCGGUAAUACGUAGGGCGCAAGCGUUGUCCGGAAUUAUUGGGCGUAAAGAGCUCGUAGGCGGCUUGUCACGUCGGGUGUGAAAGCCCGGGGCUUAACCCCGGGUCUGCAUUCGAUACGGGCUGGCUAGAGUGUGGUAGGGGAGAUCGGAAUUCCUGGUGUAGCGGUGAAAUGCGCAGAUAUCAGGAGGAAC